CUGGCGGCGUGCUUAACACAUGCAAGUCGAACGAAGAGCGAUGGAAGCUUGCUUCUAUCAAUCUUAGUGGCGAACGGGUGAGUAACGCGUAAUCAACCUGCCCUUCAGAGGGGGACAACAGUUGGAAACGACUGCUAAUACCGCAUACGAUCUAAUCUCGGCAUCGAGGAUAGAUGAAAGGUGGCCUCUACAUGUAAGCUAUCACUGAAGGAGGGGAUUGCGUCUGAUUAGCUAGUUGGAGGGGUAACGGCCCACCAAGGCGAUGAUCAGUAGCCGGUCUGAGAGGAUGAACGGCCACAUUGGGACUGAGACACGGCCCAGACUCCUACGGGAGGCAGCAGUGGGGAAUCUUCCGCAAUGGACGAAAGUCUGACGGAGCAACGCCGCGUGAGCGAUGACGGCCUUCGGGUUGUAAAGCUCUGUUAAUCGGGACGAAAGGCCUUCUUGCGAAUAGUGAGAAGGAUUGACGGUACCGGAAUAGAAAGCCACGGCUAACUACGUGCCAGCAGCCGCGGU
RNAcentral lists this ribosomal RNA (516 nucleotides) under Veillonella sp. oral clone BP2-7. Its description in RNAcentral is "bacterial SSU rRNA". It matches the Rfam family "Bacterial small subunit ribosomal RNA", at positions 36 to 521 of the family's 1533-position model. The record is from RNAcentral. Lineage: Bacteria; Bacillati; Bacillota; Negativicutes; Veillonellales; Veillonellaceae.